UUAAUUCCCAAAUUCAAACCCUGUCUCUUUCUAUCGCCUUCUCUCUAAUUCCGUCUCUCUCUAUCACAUUCUCUACCGUCACCCAACCACCUACUUUUCCAGCGCCACGAAGCAUCACCGACCACAACAGUGAAGGAAGCAACACCUUCUCUCUCUUGCGACGCUUUGCUUCUGCAAGCAGCGACGAGUGUUGCCAGCAGCGGUGCGCUUGCUGCUGCUUGUAGAAGCAACGGUAAAGACUGGUGAUCCUUUUCCGGCGCCACGAACCAUCACUGACCACAGCGAAUAAGUAAGCAACACGCCGGCCACGGAUUCUCUUGCGACAAUCUACUUCUACUGGAAGUACUCGUUGUGAAAAAUGAGGCGAAGGUGAUUAAGUGGUGGCGGUGGCGACAGUGGUCAUUUUCGGCCACCGGUGUGUAGUUCUCUCUUUUCAAAUUUGGUUUUCUAUUUCUUUCUUCAUACAUUUUUUUUUCUUUGCCUCUGUGUGCUGAUGAUGAUGGUGGAGGUGGUAUAGGUGUUAACUUGCUGGUGUUGUUGGUUUUUGUCGUUGGUGGUUGUGUUGGUGUGGUGUAGGUGGUAGUGGUUGGUUUUGUUGGCGAUAGUGGUGGUUUUUUUGUUAUAUUACAGGCGGUGGAUGCGGUUUUUUUUUUUCGAUGGUUUGGUGCAUGCAGUGUGUGCUUGUGGUCAUUCUUUGUUGUUGGUGAUUGUGGUUGUGUGGUCGUCAUUUUUUUGUUAAUAAUAUUGUUGGUGGUUGUAGUGAUGUGGUGCAAGCGGUGGUAUGUAGUGGUCGUAUUAUUUUGUUGUUGCUGUGACCACCGGUGACCAAACUUGUGUUAACUAUGAUUUUAUGUGACUUGGUUAUAGAGCAUAAUUUGUUGCAGAUUAUAAUUUGUCGUUAAGGUUAUAGUCACUGUCAUUUUGUGUAGGUCGCAAAUCAAUAUAAACGGGUCACAUGUUAAUAUUAACAGGUAACAUGUCACGUUUUGUAGAAU
This 995-nucleotide long non-coding RNA is filed under the name Olea europaea subsp. europaea. Lineage: Eukaryota; Viridiplantae; Streptophyta; Magnoliopsida; Lamiales; Oleaceae. The record is from RNAcentral.